UGAGUAAUAUAUCGGAACGUGCCCAGUCGUGGGGGAUAACGUAGCGAAAGCUACGCUAAUACCGCAUACGAUCUACGGAUGAAAGCGGGGGAUCGCAAGACCUCGCGCGAUUGGAGCGCGAUAUCAGAUUAGGUAGUUGGUGAGGUAAAGGCUCACCAAGCCGACGAUCUGUAGCUGGUCUGAGAGGACGACCAGCCACACUGGGACUGAGACACGGCCCAGACUCCUACGGGAGGCAGCAGUGGGGAAUUUUGGACAAUGGGCGCAAGCCUGAUCCAGCAAUGCCGCGUGCAGGAUGAAGGCCUUCGGGUUGUAAACUGCUUUUGUACGGAACGAAAUGGUGAGCUCUAAUACAGUUUGCUAAUGACGGUACCGUAAGAAUAAGCACCGGCUAACUACGUG
Molecule: ribosomal RNA, 402 nt
Filed under: uncultured bacterium
Lineage: Bacteria
Description: bacterial SSU rRNA
Rfam family: Bacterial small subunit ribosomal RNA
Source: RNAcentral